UACGGUUUCAAUCCCGGCUCCUUCUUGAAGAUUUCCGUUGCUUACUCCGGUGGGGGCAACUAUUACGGACAAUGGAGCGCCGUCGGUAGAACCGCCGUGACCACCACCCUAGCCGGUUGCACCGCCGCUCUAACCACCCUCUUCGGCAAACGCAUCCUCUCCGGCCACUGGAACGUCACCGACGUUUGCAACGGCCUCCUCGGCGGCUUCGCAGCCAUCACCUCCGGAUGCUCAGUGGUGGAGCCGUGGGCCGCCAUAAUCUGCGGAUUCGUAGCGGCGGUGGUGCUCAUCUCCUGCAACAAGCUUGCCGAAAAGGUAAAAUUCGACGACCCACUUGAAGCCACCCAACUCCACGGCGGCUGCGGCGCCUGGGGCAUCAUCUUCACAGCGCUGUUCGCGACUAAAGACUAUGUGAGCCAAGUGUAUAACUCGGGGCAACCAGGUAGGCCGUACGGGCUGUUCAUGGGGGGCGGCGGAAGGCUUCUGGCGGCCCACAUCAUCCAAAUACUAGUGAUAACUGGGUGGGUCUCUGCCACAAUGGGCACCCUCUUCUUCAUCCU
RNAcentral lists this long non-coding RNA (560 nucleotides) under Vitis vinifera (wine grape). RNAcentral describes it as "long non-coding RNA (VVIN_LNC006825)". The record is from RNAcentral. Lineage: Eukaryota; Viridiplantae; Streptophyta; Magnoliopsida; Vitales; Vitaceae.